GGCUUAGUCCCGUUCUUUUUCGAGCAGAAGCAGGAGCUCCACUAACCACUAGCUAGCCAGAUUUCCCUUUGCUCCUUUCCUUCACUUCCAAUUUUUAAAUCAACCCGUAAACCCACAAAGUUCAAUAGUUAAACACCCAUUUCAACAAAAACCCUAACCCAAAAUGCAUUUCCCCCUUGCAAGAGUAGUAUAUUCAACUUUUAAAUGGGUAAGUUCUUCCUUCUUAUCUUGCUAAUUACGAAAGUUUAUUUUGAUAUUCCAUUGUUCUAUGGUAAUUCCUUGGCAUGAGAUUAUGAGGAAGAUAAGUUUAUAUUAGAUUAGUGGGUAAAAUUUUAUUUUGAAAUAAUUGGUUUCUAGGGUUAAUGAAACUGUAAUUUCUAGCUAUUAGGUGUGUGCUCCUUAAUAGGUGAAAUUAAAAGUUUGUAUUUUUUUUAUAUGGAGAGGAUUGCAUUUAAGUUUUAAGUCUUAAUUAAAUACUAGGUUGAGAAUGGAUAAAAUUAAAGUAUGAGGUGGUUGAUUUUGGAACUAAUAAUGGAUAUUAAAUAUAUUUAUGUUAGCAAGAAUAUUGAUUUAAUUUUGAAGGAGAUUUUAGCAUGAAGUGCUUAAGGAGAAGAAAAAUAUGUUGAAUGGAAGAGCAGAAAUAAAUAGAAGAAAAAGGUGGAUUGUAAUGAAUAUGUUUUGUAGGCCUCGAAUGGGAUUGUAACGUGUUUGAGCUUUUGGAAUUGGGGAAAGGUUUAGUUAUGCCGGAAUGCUACCGGAAUUUUUUUUUAGAAUUUUCAAAAAUAAGUCAUGCAAUUCACAUUUCAUAUUCUCAUUCUAGAUUUAAAUUUCUUCCUUGAUUCAAUUUUUUUUGCUCUCUAACCUUAGGAGAUGAUCCAGUUCCUGUAGUAGAUACUAGGAGUCCUCCACUGGUCUAAGCUCCUUUCUAUCUUUAGUAUAGCAUGAGAACACUCUCACAAGAUACUGCCAAGGCAUGGAUUUAGAAUGGCUUGAACUUUCUCAUGAUGAACAUGAAAUAGAGGUAUGUUCACAGCAAAAACAGAUACUUUUAAUCAUUUGAGAGUCCCUAAUGAACAUAAAGAUUGUCUUGUGAGAAUCAUUUCAGAAACAGAAUGCACAUAGGGCAAAAGUAAAGGCACUGAAAGAUGGCCUCUCACAGCUACGGUUGACAUGCUUGCACAUGAUGGGUCAACGACUAGAUGGCCUGAGCUUCAAGGAGCUGCAGCACCUAGAAGAUCAAUUAAGUAACGGGUUACUCUCUGUUAAGGAUAAGAAGGGACAAUUUUAAUAUAAACAUUUAAUCAGUAUCAUUAAUAAUUAGUCUUAUAAUACACUAGAAAAUUAUCAUGUGACAAAUCUAGCUAAAAUUUUAGCAACAUUAGCUAAAACUGAAAUUUUAGUGGUCAUUAGAGCUGAAAUUCAUCUGGUAAAAUUUACAGUGAGUGAGUUGAAAAAUGCACGAGUUUAAUUAUUUCAUCACAUUUCACUUUUAUAAUAAUUUAGUCCACAUAACUUUAUUAUUUGUAACAAUGUAGCCUUAGAUUUGCAUGACUGCUUUGAUUUUGGUUGAUUAGUUGAAUUUUAAUAGGACUAUUUUAUUAAUGUAAACAUAGAAUACAAGUAAUGAAGAAAA
RNAcentral lists this unclassified non-coding RNA (1633 nucleotides) under Hevea brasiliensis (rubber tree). Lineage: Eukaryota; Viridiplantae; Streptophyta; Magnoliopsida; Malpighiales; Euphorbiaceae. The record is from RNAcentral.